UACUGGGGGCCAAUUAGUCCAGGAGCAGGGAUGGCACUUUUGCCAUCUCCCAGUCGCUCCAGUUUGACAUGGGCACUGGGUGUGGGGGUUCGGUCUCCCAGCACAGCCCAGUGCCAGCCCUGGGCCCUUUGGAUGAGGUGUUUUGCGCAGUAGGAAAUGAUUUCUCUGAGAGUUGUUUGUCAGAAAAGAAAACUGGAAUUCACAAGAAUUGAGUUUGAAGGGACCGGCAAGGAAUUAAUAUUAGCUUUCCAGAGCGAGCUCCCAGUCGUGCUGCUGUGGGGAGACACAGCCUGAAGAGAGGCGAAACGGAGGUGUGUGCAAAAUAUCGGGUGAAGGGUCCCUUCUCUGGGAAAACUUCAGUGACUCCCAUAAUCGAUUGCCAGCCUACAUCUGUAGCUAAACCAAUUACUGCAGACAAAUUGGCGUGAAUAUUUGCCUCGCAAAGCUCUCCAGCCACACAAAGGGUUCGCUUUCCCCCUUCCCCUGCCAUGAUUUUGUGAGAGAGGAAAAUUACUCGGAUGCUGAGCAUACUGCUGGCAGGACUUUGGUGUAGGCAGAGCCAACAGCUCCCACAGCCACGGCCUCCUCAACGUGGGGCCAUCCUGCAUUCACGUGUCCCCUCCUUCCCAAUCCAUCACCAAGGCCCAGGCCUGCCAGGGGAGAGCUGAGUCCUGGCCUGGCAAUGAAUUUGGUCCUCCUCACUACGUCCCCGCCACAUCCCUGCCGCGUCCCUGCCGCAUCCCCCGACGCCUGCCUGCAUUUUGGAGUGGGGUGUGAAGCAAAUAUGAGACGGCCUCAAACACUCAGUCCCAUGGUGCUUUUUGGAAUAGUGAUAAUUAAAUUCAGACUUUUUU
Calypte anna (Anna's hummingbird) is the source of this 854-nucleotide long non-coding RNA. RefSeq lists it as uncharacterized. The transcript is spliced from 3 exons. Lineage: Eukaryota; Metazoa; Chordata; Aves; Apodiformes; Trochilidae. The record is from RefSeq and is a predicted model, not a curated record.